RNAcentral lists this transfer RNA (47 nucleotides) under Sciurus vulgaris fuscoater. RNAcentral's name for it is "partial tRNA-His". The record is from RNAcentral. Lineage: Eukaryota; Metazoa; Chordata; Mammalia; Rodentia; Sciuridae.
AUUAGAUUGUGAAUCUAAUAAUAGAAGAUAAUAUCCUCUUAUUUACC